RNAcentral lists this long non-coding RNA (524 nucleotides) under Trifolium pratense (red clover). Its description in RNAcentral is "long non-coding RNA (TPRA_LNC010001)". The record is from RNAcentral. Lineage: Eukaryota; Viridiplantae; Streptophyta; Magnoliopsida; Fabales; Fabaceae.
AAGAAUAAUAUCUGACAUUUGUGAAUAUUUGUUCGUAUAAAUUAUGAUUUUUAUUAACUUUAGUGAUAUGUUUGUUUAACUUUGCGUUGAAAAGUCAUGUAAUGUCAUCAUCAUGGACACGCUUUACUUUAUUUGAGUGUAAGAAUUUUCACUUUUAGAUUUGUUGGUUGGUUUGGUUGUUCCAUUUAACAAUAGUAGCCAAGGAUGAACUUUUAAUGUUUAUGUUAUUAAUAGUAGGUUUAUUGUUGAGUGAGUCAUAAUGAUGGUUGAUGCUUUGGUAGUAUUAAUAGUAUCUCUAUGGUAAUAAUGUUAAGUGUCCUAGUGACAAUGAGGUUAAUUUUGUGAAGUUCUAAGAUACUUAUAGUCAAGGAUUCAGGUAGUAUGCAUGAAGUUCGAGGUUCGAUCUUUAUCGGCAGUAACCACAGUACUGGCGGUGAUUCUAAUCUCUGCAAAUCUAAACAUACAUUUAUUUAAUUAUUUGAUUGUUUUGAGUAUAUAUUCAGUCAUUAGAUAUUGAAUCAUAC